RNAcentral lists this ribosomal RNA (856 nucleotides) under Parabacteroides distasonis. RNAcentral's name for it is "bacterial SSU rRNA". The record is from RNAcentral. Lineage: Bacteria; Pseudomonadati; Bacteroidota; Bacteroidia; Bacteroidales; Tannerellaceae.
GCUUGAGUAUGUUUGAGGCAGGCGGAAUGCGUGGUGUAGCGGUGAAAUGCUUAGAUAUCACGCAGAACCCCGAUUGCGAAGGCAGCCUUCCAAGCCAUGACUGACGCUGAUGCACGAAAGCGUGGGGAUCAAACAGGAUUAGAUACCCUGGUAGUCCACGCAGUAAACGAUGAUCACUAGCUGUUUGCGAUACACUGUAAGCGGCACAGCGAAAGCGUUAAGUGAUCCACCKGGGGAGUACGCCGGCAACGGUGAAACUCAAAGGAAUUGACGGGGGCCCGCACAAGCGGAGGAACAUGUGGUUUAAUUCGAUGAUACGCGAGGAACCUUACCCGGGUUUGAACGCAUUCGGACCGAGGUGGAAACACCUUUUCUAGCAAUAGCCGUUUGCGAGGUGCUGCAUGGUUGUCGUCAGCUCGUGCCGUGAGGUGUCGGCUUAAGUGCCAUAACGAGCGCAACCCUUGCCACUAGUUACUAACAGGUUAGGCUGAGGACUCUGGUGGGACUGCCAGCGUAAGCUGCGAGGAAGGCGGGGAUGACGUCAAAUCAGCACGGCCCUUACAUCCGGGGCGACACACGUGUUACAAUGGCGUGGACAAAGGGAAGCCACCUGGCGACAGGGAGCGAAUCCCCAAACCACGUCUCAGUUCGGAUCGGAGUCUGCAACCCGACUCCGUGAAGCUGGAUUCGCUAGUAAUCGCGCAUCAGCCAUGGCGCGGUGAAUACGUUCCCGGGCCUUGUACACACCGCCCGUMWAUCAAAAUUCAAACGGUCUUUAUAUUUGCGGUAAGCGGAUACGAAAGCGUUCUCCGCAUUAUCCAGAUACCGAAGGAAACCUUGGUGGAAUGGAAGCCCG